RNAcentral lists this ribosomal RNA (228 nucleotides) under uncultured Lactobacillus sp. RNAcentral describes it as "partial 16S ribosomal RNA". It matches the Rfam family "Bacterial small subunit ribosomal RNA", at positions 134 to 355 of the family's 1533-position model. The record is from RNAcentral. Lineage: Bacteria; Bacillati; Bacillota; Bacilli; Lactobacillales; Lactobacillaceae.
GAGAUCGGGAUAACACCUGGAAGCAGAUGCUAAUACCGGAUAACAACAGAUGAUGCCUAUCAACUGUUUAAAAGAUGGUUCUGCUAUCACUCUUGGAUGGACCUGCGGUGCAUUAGCUAGUUGGUAGGGUAACGGCCUACCAAGGCGAUGAUGCAUAGCCGAGUUGAGAGACUGAUCGGCCACAUUGGGACUGAGACACGGCCCAAACUCCUACGGGAGGCAGCAGCU